GACGAACGCUGGCGGCGUGCUUAACACAUGCAAGUCGAACGGAAAGGCCCUGCUUUUGUGGGGUGCUCGAGUGGCGAACGGGUGAGUAACACGUGAGUAACCUGCCCUUGACUUUGGGAUAACUUCAGGAAACUGGGGCUAAUACCGGAUAGGAGCUCCUGCUGCAUGGUGGGGGUUGGAACGUUUCGGCGGUUGGGGAUGGACUCGCGGCUUAUCAGCUUGUUGGUGGGGUAGUGGCUUACCAAGGCUUUGACGGGUAGCCGGCCUGAGAGGGUGAACGGCGACAUGGGGACUGAGAGAGGGACCAGACUCGUACGGGAGGCAGCGGGGGGGAAUAUGGCACAAUGGGAGGAAGCCGGAGGCAGAAGCGCCGCGGGCGGGAUGACGGCCUUCGGGUUGAAAAAAGCUGUCGCCUGUGACGAAGCGUGAGUGACGGUAAUGGAUAAAGAAGCACCGGCUAACUACGUG
RNAcentral lists this ribosomal RNA (468 nucleotides) under uncultured bacterium. RNAcentral describes it as "partial 16S ribosomal RNA". It matches the Rfam family "Bacterial small subunit ribosomal RNA", at positions 28 to 507 of the family's 1533-position model. The record is from RNAcentral.